This is a non-coding RNA of Gossypium hirsutum (cotton), 107 nucleotides long. The record is from Rfam. NCBI's taxonomy places the organism in Eukaryota, Viridiplantae, Streptophyta, Magnoliopsida, Malvales, Malvaceae.
AUUCCAUGAUGAAGGCAUUUCCGUAAUAAUUCUUUGUAUCGUUCCCAUACGUCAUACAAUGACUCAUCAUCCAUUUGCUGGAAGGCAGUGAUCUCGUUCUUCAACUU